UUCCGGUUGAUCCUGCCGGACCCGACUGCUAUCGGAUUGGGACUAAGCCAUGCGAAUCAACUCCGCAAGGGGUGGCGCACGGCUCAGUAACACGUGGUUAACCUACCCUCGGGACGGGGAUAACCUCGGGAAACUGAGGCUAAUCCCAGAUAGAUGAGGGAUCCUGGAAUGGUUCCUCAUCGAAAAGGCACGCAUAUCAUGCUAUGCGUGUCGCCUGAGGAUGGGACCGCAUCCUAUCAGGUAGUUGGUGGGGUAACGGCCCACCAAGCCUAUAACGGGUACGGGCCCUGAGAGGGGGAGCCCGGAGAUGGGUACUGAGACAAGGACCCAGGCCCUACGGGGCGCAGCAGGCGCGAAACCUCCGCAAUGCGCGAAAGCGCGACGGGGCCACCCCGAGUGCCAUCCGCUGAGGGUGGCUUUUCCCUAGUGUAGUAAGCUAGGGGAAUAAGCGGGGGGCAAGUCUGGUGUCAGCCGCCGCGGUAAAACCAGC
RNAcentral lists this ribosomal RNA (490 nucleotides) under uncultured crenarchaeote. RNAcentral's name for it is "bacterial SSU rRNA". It matches the Rfam family "Archaeal small subunit ribosomal RNA", at positions 1 to 480 of the family's 1478-position model. The record is from RNAcentral. Lineage: Archaea; Thermoproteati; Thermoproteota.